GCCAAUGUAGCUUAACAAAAGCAUAACACUGAAGAUGUUAAGAUAGACCCUUGAUAGGUCUCAUUAGCA
RNAcentral lists this transfer RNA (69 nucleotides) under Kopua minima. RNAcentral's name for it is "Aspasma minima tRNA-Phe". It matches the Rfam family "tRNA". From Rfam's summary of the family: Transfer RNA (tRNA) molecules are approximately 80 nucleotides in length. The record is from RNAcentral. Lineage: Eukaryota; Metazoa; Chordata; Actinopteri; Blenniiformes; Gobiesocidae.